CCUGGGGAGUACGACCGCAAGGUUGAAACUCAAAGGAAUUGACGGGGGCCCGCACAAGCGGUGGAGCAUGUGGUUUAAUUCGAAGCUACGCGAAGAACCUUACCAGGUCUUGACAUCUUGCGCCAACCCUAGAGAUAGGGCGUUUCCUUCGGGACCGCACGACAGGUGGUGCAUGGUCGUCGUCAGCUCGUGUCGUGAGAUGUUGGGUUAAGUCCCGCAACGAGCGCAACCCUUGUUACUAGUUGCCAGCAUUAAGUUGGGCACUCUAGUGAGACUGCCGGUGACAAACCGGAGGAAGGUGGGGACGACGUCAGAUCAUCAUGCCCCUUAUGACCUGGGCUACACACGUGCUACAAUGGACGGUACAACGAGUCGCGAACUCGCGAGGGCAAGCAAAUCUCUUAAAACCGUUCUCAGUUCGGACUGCAGGCUGCAACUCGCCUGCACGAAGUCGGAAUCGCUAGUAAUCGCGGAUCAGCAUGCCGCGGUGAAUACGUUCC
This 500-nucleotide ribosomal RNA is filed under the name Limosilactobacillus fermentum. RNAcentral's name for it is "bacterial SSU rRNA". It matches the Rfam family "Bacterial small subunit ribosomal RNA", at positions 872 to 1374 of the family's 1533-position model. Lineage: Bacteria; Bacillati; Bacillota; Bacilli; Lactobacillales; Lactobacillaceae. The record is from RNAcentral.